RNAcentral lists this signal recognition particle RNA (298 nucleotides) under Microcebus murinus (gray mouse lemur). RNAcentral describes it as "Metazoan signal recognition particle RNA (ENSMICG00000034594.2)". It matches the Rfam family "Metazoan signal recognition particle RNA". Rfam says of the family: The signal recognition particle (SRP) is a universally conserved ribonucleoprotein. It is involved in the co-translational targeting of proteins to membranes. The record is from RNAcentral. Lineage: Eukaryota; Metazoa; Chordata; Mammalia; Primates; Cheirogaleidae.
GCCAGGCAUGGGGCACAUGUUUGUAGUCCCAGCUACUCGGGAGGCUGAGGCAGGAGGAUCUCUUGAGCCCAGGAGUUCUGGACUGUUGUGUGCUAUGCCCAUCCAGUAUCCGCACUAAGUUCAGCAACUAUACAGUGACCUCCUGGGAGCGGGGGACCACCUGGUUGCCUAAGGAAGGGCGAACUGGCCCAAAUUAGAAAGGGAGCAGGUCAAAACUUCCGUGAUGAUCAGUAGUAGGACAGUGCCUAUGAGUAACCACUGCACUCCAGCUAGGGCAACACAGCAAGACACUGUCUCU